GUCCCUGUAGCGCAAUGGAUAGCGUCUUAGACUUCUAAUCCAAAGGUCGUGGGUUCGAAGUCUACCUGGGAUG
RNAcentral lists this transfer RNA (73 nucleotides) under Trichonephila inaurata madagascariensis. It matches the Rfam family "tRNA". From Rfam's summary of the family: Transfer RNA (tRNA) molecules are approximately 80 nucleotides in length. Their secondary structure includes four short double-helical elements and three loops (D, anti-codon, and T loops). Lineage: Eukaryota; Metazoa; Arthropoda; Arachnida; Araneae; Nephilidae. The record is from Rfam by way of RNAcentral.